UUCAUUAGGAAACCUUGUUUCAAGAGAUUUGGGAAGAUCAUAGGUGUCUAAACCAGACAUCUUUUGGGAGAUAUUCAAGAUAGUUGAUUUAAAGUCCUUAAUAUGACACCCAAUAUGAAAUAUUAAGGCUAGGACCCAACAAACUAUUUUAUAACUUAGAAGAGGUAUGCCGUAAUCCAAGCUAUAAAAUAUUUGAAGGUAGGUGAAUGACGAUUCACCAAUUUCCACCAAGAUAAACGAAAUGUAUUAUUAGGUUUUAAUUGGUUUUGAAACUCCUAGAUCUUUGAGAUUCAUUGAACUUUUCAAAGGCAUGUUUCAAUCUCGAGUGUGCCCUUCAGGUUUUGUGACUGGGAUGCCGAGGAUCACAAAACAAGGUGUGAAGUAACCAUGCAAAUCACUUGGUACCCUUAAUAAAUUACCCCUCAAUCGAUGUGCCGGUUAACCACACACGCUCCAUCGAUACUAUGAUAAAUAUUAAGUCACCCUUUACCUACCUUGUUAAGUCCAAGUUAGUGUGCCGGUUAACCACACACGCUCCACUAACGACUUAGACAAAGUGUAAAGUGUAAUUUCAUGGAUUAGCACCUUAUUCACAUUUUUCCUAAGUAACUAAGAUUGGGUAUUAUUAAGAGUUUAGUUACUUAGUAUUAUCAUUAAUACUUUUAAUGAAGGGAGAAUUCUAGUCCUGUCAAACCCGUUCGGCUAACGACCCUCCACCAGUCAAGCAAGCGGUGGGUGAGAGUGGACACCCAUUAAGUUGCCAUUUUAUAGGCAACAACCUUAUACCCACCUUAUAGACCGGCUUCGUGAAUGAGGCGUACUAGCGGUAAGACUGACUUUACUCUUAUACAUAUAUAUAUUAUUAACUUAUAAUAUUAUAAAGUAUAAGGGUUGAAUUUUAACUUUUAAAAUUCUAAGGGCUAACUUGGAAUUAAAGUAUUCAUAAGUGAAAACUUUACAAAUUCCAAAACUUGAGGGCAAGUUUUGAAACUAUUCAAAACUAAUUAAUUCCAUAACUUAUGUGUUUAAAGUAGUUUUAAUCCAAAAACUCUUCAAGUUCCAUAACUUGAGGACAAGUUAUGGAAGACUUUAAACUAAUAAAAGAAUUAACUUUUCUUUAUUUUAUAACUUAUGGAAUUAAUUAAGGUUACCCUUUUUUUUAUUUUAUUUUAUUUUAUUAAAUGAAGAGACUCUUGGUCCUCCAUAACUUGAGGACAAGUUAUGGAGUCAUAAAACCAUUUAAUUAGAACUAGACUCUUCAUUUUUGUAACCUUUGCCAAUUUUUAUGAGUUUUAUGAUUCUUAAAUGUGACUUUUCAUAUAACUUGAGGACAAGUUACAAAAACACAUUUUAGAAUCAAUUCUUAGAUUAAUUUGGAUUAAAACCAACUAUCACAUAAUUUUAUUCAUUAAUCUAAAUUCACUCAUAAAACAAGGUAACACAAAAAACUUUUGGUGAUCCAUAACUUAUUCUUAAGUUAUGGAAUCCUUUAAAACAUUAACACCAAAUUUUGUAACUCCAAAAAAACUUUGAAUUAAUUUUUUUUUUAAAACCUUUUCAUAUCCAUAACUUAUGGAGGUUUCAAAAAAUAAAACUCUUUAGAUCAAACUUUUAAAACUAAUAAAAUAAUCAUAUUAUUUUAUCUUUUAUUAAAUUUGACCUAAUUCAACUCAUAAAGCAAAUUAUUCAAAUUUUACAAAUAAUUAGUUUUUCACAAGAACAAGUAAUUAUCUUAAAAUUUGACGAACUUCAUGUUUUUUUUUUUUUUUUUUUUCAACUUUGAAAAUAAAAUAUUUGCAUCAAUAUAACAGAAAACAACCCGUGGCUCUGAUACCACUGUUGGGUUUUGAGCAUUCUAACACUUCCUAAGUGUACAUGCAACCCUAAAUACCUUGGAUCUAUGUUUUCUCUAUUAUACAUGCAAAUAAGAACUUCCAAGGUAUUAUCCUAAUCUAGCAUAUAAAACAAUGGAUAUAGUAGGAUAGAAUACAUACCUUUUUGGUGUAGUAAGUCUUCAUGAAGCUUGAGUGCUUAGUGCCCCAAGUGUGACACCUCAAAUGGAAUCACAAUCAUCAAAACACUUGGAAUGACUUGAGAGAAUUCUACACUCAUCAAAAUCGGCUAGCCCUUUCUUCACUAUCUCUAGUGGCCGAUUUUUCCUCAAUAAUAAGAUGCUUAUAUAGUUACACAAUUAGGGUAAACUCUUAAUUGUCAUGGCUUUCCAUUUCCUUGGAUCCAUGGGUACAAAUACACCAUGGAGCAUCCAUGGACCAUCCUAUGGGUUUUAGCCCAACUUGAUUAUCCAUGGAGCAUUAGCCCACUAUACAAGUAUGGAUGAUUUACACAAUCAACCCAUAUAUUUAAUUAGUCUUCUUUUGAUCACUUAAUUAAUCCUAGAUUAAUUCUUGAUCAAUACUAAUUAAAUAAUCUUAUUAUUCUUAUUAUUAAUAUACUAGAACUUAUAAUAUAUUAAUAACCAUAAGUGUCUUAUUUCUCUCAUUCAAGUGCAUGAUGGUAUGCAACCCAAAUGGACCAUGCCGGGUUGGGUCAAGUCUUACCAAAUAUAGUUAUGGACUUAGACAUUAAUCCAACAAAAAGGACAGGUUAUUAAGCUCUGGAGUGCAUCAACUCAUAAAGCCUCAAGCUUGGGACCAAAAACCCUAAAAUGGACCCUAAUAUGCACAAAAGAAAAAAAGAGGGAAAUCUUGGAGCUUUAUACCUUCAAAUGAUGCUCUAGCCCCAAGAAAUCUCAGAUCCACAGCCUGCUCUUCAACUUCACUCCUUUCUGUGCUCCUUCUUAACUCUUAAUAGUCCACAAGAACACAAAAAAGCUCAUCAUGGCCACCACAAGCUUCAAGAACGGAUAUUAGGGUUUGAGAGGGUUUAAUAACUGAGGAAGGUGGCCAGAAAUGAGACCAUCUCUUUCUUUUUAUAGGGACACUUCACUUAAUUAGGGUUCCCUUAUGUGCCUAGUAUGCCCAGCGUACCCCCUGGUACGCCCAACGUACUAGGUGGCUCUUGCUUAAGAAACACACGCAUCUGUACGCUAAGCGUACGCAUAUGUACGCCCAGCGUACUUCGCUGCCACAUUUCUCCACUUUAGGGACUCAUCUUGCCAACUCUUCAAAUUUCUAUAGCUUCUUUGAUAUAAAUCCGAUUCCAAAGAUCCCCAUACCUACGGAAAAGUGAUGAGAUGCUUUACGAUUCCAGAAACUCGCCACCACCCGAGACUUCCUCAUGCCCGGCUCGUGGCCCACUUCACUUAUCCAAGUGGGAGACUGUUGGAUUAGUUUCUAAGCCUGUAACCAUAUUUGGUAAGUACUUGACCCGGUUGUGCAUGGUCCUUUUGGGUUGCCUUCACCAAAGCAAAUUAACUGGUGAAAUAAUAGAGAAAGAGGUUCUUAUGAUUUAUUAAUAUAUUAUAAGAAUAAUAUAUUAAAGGAGAAAUCAUAUUUGUUUAAUUAAUAUUGGUCAAUAAUUAAUUAAGAAUUAAUUUUGUGAUCAAAUGUAAUUAAUUAAACUAGAGGGGCUAAAUUGUUAUUAUGUGAUAGUUGCAAAUUAGGGCAAUCGAUGCCCCAUGGAUAGGGUGGAUGAAUUCAAGGUGAUAGGGCAUUAGAAUUCGUCCAAGGAUAAGGCUUCUACGCUUAUCAUAUGGUUUGCUUGGUGGGCAAGCAACUAGAUAAGGAUAAGGACUGAAACCCUAAUCUAUACCCUAUAUAAAGACCCCUUAGACCUUAGGAAAUCGGCCACUUGAUCCCUAGAAGGCUUAGAGUCGAUUUCCUACCUCUCCCUUCUCUCUCUCUCUUGCCUCUCCAUUUGCUUGUGGUGUUUGUGAGCCAUUAGAGGUACUACACUUGUGGUACUUGCUUUCAAGACUAAAAGAUUGAAGAUUUGUGUUGUUAUUGCAAUAUAACAACAAGAGGUAUGUAAUCACUUCUACUACAUAGAUUUUGAAAUACCUAGGUGUAUGCUAGGGUUCUUCUCGUGUUCAUGAAGUUGUGUAUCUAAUAGAGAAAACAUAGAUCCAAAUAUAGGGUUGCAUGCACACAUAGGAUUGUUUGUAUAAAACCCUUCAUGUUUUACUAACAUACAUGCAAAUUUGAUUUUCCAAGGUUCUUAUCCUAACUAGCAUGGCAUGGGGUACUUGUGAUAUAAAAUCUAGUAGAAUAACAUACCUUUCUUGUUGCUUGGAUUCCUUAAGAACUUUGUGAUCCUAGUACCCCAAAUGUGAUGCCUCAAAUGUUUGACAAAACCACUCAAAAUCGGCUACCCUCCUUGUUCUUGUAUUAGUCCGAUUUUGCUAGCCUAUGGGGUCUUUAUAUAGUGUGUCACAAUUAGGGUUACACCAUGUAAACCCUAAUUGACAUGGCUUUUUCAUUUCCUCUAUGAUCUAUGGGUUUUAACCUCCAUGGAGCACCCUAUGGGUUUUAGCCCAAUCCAAUAAACCAUGGAUCAUAAGCCCAUUAUAUAAGAAUGGAUGAUUUACACAAUGAAUCCCCAUAUAUUAUUUAGUCUCUUUUUUAUUACGAAAUUAAUUCCAAAUUAAUUCUUGAUCAAUACUAAUUAAAUAAUAUGAUUUCAUAUUAAUAUAUUAUAACUUAUAAUAUAUUAACAAAUAAUAAGUGUCCUUUUUCUCAUUUUGUCUAUCCAACUAUCAUGAUGCCAUGCAACCCAAAUGGACCAUGCCAAACCAGGUCAACUACAUACCAGAAAUAGUUAUGGACUUAGACACCUUAUCCAACAGUCUCCGACUUGGAUAAGUCUAAUAAAUAUAAUUGCAACUAUGACUUCACGAACCAAUCAGCAAUCAUAGCUCUUUCAAAGUCUCGCGAAACUCAGAUGACCAUUCAUUGAAGAUAAGUGAUCAUAUAUUCCUCUGCUCUCAAUAUAUCAUCCAGAAAAAUACAUGGAACAAUGUCGUACUUAAUGUCCAGUGGUUUGUUUCCCGAUUUCCGGUAUGUUUGACAUAGAACUAAACUGAACACAUCAAAUUUGGUUCUGACCGGGCCCAAUACAUAGGUCAAAAUAAAAUCAUUGAGGGGCCCAGAUAUCGCUUCUAAUCCUCCGAGGACUAGAAGGAGCAGAUAAACUUCGACUCAUAUACUUAUACUAACUAUUUGUUGAAUCAUACACAAAAGCAGGUUUUAUAACAUUAAGUUACCGAUGCGUUUUUGUACAAUCAAUGUAUAACCAACUCAUAGUCAACAACUCAUAUCUCAAGGUUUGAAGAAUUAUAUGAUAUUACUGUCUCACGAUCACUCAAGAUAAAUUCCAUGAAGUGAUACAAGUGAGCGUGGGUUGAAUCCAAUACUCGAAUCACUAUUCCAGGAGUACUCAUGAACACUAUAGUCCCUUUGUCCCAGACAAACUACAGACCCAUUCAUGACAGUCUUGCAUCAUUACCUAAUUCCAAAGUAUGAUUGACUGUGGAUGGUUUGAAUAAUAUGAUAUACCAUAACAUAAUUAUUCUGGAAGUCAAAACAUGCAAAAUUGAAAUGAUAGUAAACGAUUGAUAGAAGAUAGUAACACUUUACUUACAAAUAAAUAAAAACUAUUAUUUAAUCAUCAAAUGUCAAUUACACUUUACAAAUUUCAAAAGCUAUCUCAUUUCUAGAACUAAUAUCAUCCUUUAGCCUAAUGUGCCUGGCAUGCUGAAGAUACUUAACCCUACUCAGUCCUUUCAUGAGGGGAUCUGAUGGGUUCUCAUCCGAUGAUACCCUCUUUGCCACGAGGAGUCUUUCUUCUAUUCGAUAUCUAAUGAAACGGUCUUUUCUGUCGAUGUGUCUAGAUAUCCCGUGAUCCCUUGGUUCCUUGGCUAAGGCAACUGCGCUUUCACUGUCACAGAAAAUCUCCACAGGCUCCUUUAUAGCUAGUAUUACUCCAACGUCUCCAAUGAAGUUCUUCAGCCAUAUAGCCUCCUUUGAUGCCUUGCUUGCCGCUAUAUGCUCUUAUUCGCAAGUUGAAUCAGUCACUGUCUCCUGCUUGGAACUUUUCGAUGUAAUUGCUCCUCUGUUUAAGGUAAAGACCCAGCCUGACUGAGAGCAGAAAUUAUCCCUAUCAGUCUGGAAGCUAGAAUCACUAUACCCUAAUACUCUCAAGUCAUCACUCCCACCGAGGGUAAGGAUCCAAUCCUUAGUCCUCUCAGGGUACUUGAGAAUGUUCUUUACCGCAGUCCAGUGAGCCUUGCCAUGGUUUCCCUGGUAUUUGUUGACCAUGCUUAAAGCAAAUGCCACAUCAUCACGGGUACAAUUCAUAGCAUACAUGAUCAAGCCUACAACGGAAGCAUACAAUACUCGACUCAUUUCAGCUAUCUUAGCCUCGGUCUGGUGUUACUCCCGAUCGGUAACUCUCUUUUCUUGGAAUCGUGCAUGCUAAACCUAUUCAGCACCUUAUCCAAGUAGGUGCUUUGGCUAAGUCCAAUUAGUCUCUUACUCCUAUCUCUCAAAAUCCUUAUCCCUAGGAUAUAGGCAGCUUCUCCAAGGUCCUUCACAGCGAAACACUUCCUAAGACAGGCCUUCUCUUCCUGCUGAGUUGGGAUGUCAUUUCCUAUGAGUAGUAUGUCAUCCACAUACAAUAUUAAAAAUCUAACUAUACUCUCACUAGCCUUGACAUAUACACAUGACUCAUCUUCACUCCUAGAAAAACCAAACUCUUUGUCAUUUCCUAGGGUACUUUGUACUAACAAAACCCUCUGGCUGACUCAUGUAAACAUCCUCAGCCAACUUUCCAUUAAGGAAAGCUGUUAUGAUAUCCAUUUGCCAUAUUUGAUAAUCAUGAAAUGCAUCAAUGGCUAGCAUAACCCUAAUAGACUUAAUCUUCACUACUGGUGAAAAGGUCUCAUCAUAGUCAACUACCGGAGUUUGAUAGAAGCCCUUUGCAACCAGUCGCACCUUAUAAGUGUGUACAUUCCCAUCCAUGUCGAGCUUCUUCUUGAAGAUCCAUUUGUACCCGAAUGUCUUACGACCUUGUACAUUGUCAACCAAGUUCCAAACUUGAUUGUCAUACAUGGACUAUAGCCAUGGCCUCCGUGUAGCUGUUAGGUUCAUCCAGACUUACCAGUGUAUUAUCGUUGAUAUGUGUAUCACCUUCCGUAGUAAUAUGGAAACCAUAGUAAUGCUCAGGUGCAUUCCUAACUCUAGUGGAACGCCUCAGAGGUACAUACUCGUCAGUUGGAUCAACAAGAGUUUCCUCCUCAGGUUGAUUGCUAGGGUUUGGGGUUCCUUCACCACUUGACUCUUGAGUUUAAUCAAGGUCAAUUUGCCUCCCAUUGUUCACUUGGCUUAUAAACUCUCUCUCUCUCUCUCUAUAUAUAUAUAUAUAUAUAUAUAUANUGUCUCUGUCUCUAUCUCUCUCUCGAAAGACUCUUGUCCUUGCAACAAAUACCACAUUAGCACUGGGUCUAUAGAAGAGGUACCAAAUGAUUUAUGUGGGUAGCCGAUGAAAAUACACCUCUCACUUCGAGGUUCGAGCUUAUCGUGAGUCUCGCGCCUCACAAAAGCCUCGCUACCCCAAAUCUUGAUGUGGUCCAAAUUGGGAACUUUCCCAGUCCACAUCUCGUGUGGUGUUUUGGCAACCUUUUUGGUAGGGACUAAAUUAAGGAUAUGGGUGGUAGUCUCUAAGGCAUACCCCCAAAAUUAGAUUGUUAGUGAAGCUUGACUCACCAUGGUGUCCUUUGAUAGUUGUGUCACAAGUAGGGUUACAUCAUGUAAACCCUAAUUGACAUGGCUUUUCAUUUCCUCCAUGAUCCAUGGGUUUUAUCCUCCAUGGACUAUCCAAGGAGCACCCUAUGGGUUUUAGCCCAAUUCAAUAAACCAUUGAUCAUUAGCCCACUAUAAAAGAAUGGAUGAUUUACACAAUCAACCCCAUAUAUUUAAUUAGUCUCCUUUUAAUCACCAAAUUAAUUCUAAAUUCUUGAUCAAUAUUAAUUAAAUACUAUUAUUAAUAUAUUAGAACUUAUAAUAUAUUAAUAAACCAUAAGUGUCAUUUCUCUCAUUUUGUCUAUCCAAGUGUCUUGAUGCCAUGCAACCCAAAUGGACAAUGCCAACCUAGUCAAGUACAUUCCAGAAAUAGUUAUGAACUUAGACACCUAAUCUAACAGUCUCCCACUUGGGUAAGUCUAAUAACUAUAACUGCAAGAAUGACUUCACGAACCGAUCAGCAAUCAUAGAUCUUUCAAAGUCUUGUGGAACUUAGAUGAUGAUGAUACAUCAUUUAAGAUAAGUGAUCAUAUAAUCCUCUAUUCUAGAUAUCAGUCGGACAAAUACAGGGAACAAUGUCGUACUUAUUGUCUAGCAGUUUGUUUCCCGAUUUCUGAUUUGUUUGACAUAGAACUUAAUCGAACACAUCAAGUUAGUUCUGACCAGGCCUGGUACUUAGGCCAGAACAAAAUCAUCGAGGGGCCCAGAUAUCGCUUCUAAUCCAAGAAGGAACAUAUAAACUUCGACUUAUAUGCUUGUUCUACUACUUGUUGAAUCAUAUACAAAGGCACGUUUUAUAACAUCAAGUUACCAAUGCGUUUUCGUGCAAUCAAUGUAUAACCGACUCAUAGUCAAUAACUCAUAUCUCUAGGAUUGAAGACUUCUAUGAUAUUACCGUCCCACGAUCACUCGAGAUAAAUUCCAUGAAGUGAUACAAGUGAGCGUGGUUUGAAUCCAAUACUCAGAACUUAUGAGGACUCAUGAAUGUUGUUGCAACUCUUGCUAUGUCCAACACCUUUGACAUAUACAAACCAACUUCAUAACAAUAUUGAUUCAUAUCUACUUCCAACAUAUGACCGGUUGCGGGGAAUUUGAAUAACAUGAUAUACCAUAACAUAAUUAUUUUGGAAGUCAAAAUAUGCAAAAUGAAAUGAUAGUAAACAAUUGAUAGAAGAUAGCAACACUUUACUUAUAAAUAAACAACAACUUUUAUUUAUCAUCAAAUGUCAAUUACAAUUUACAAAUUUCAAAAGCUAUCAAAUUUUAAAACUAAUAUCAUCCUUUAGCCCUAUGUGCCUCGCAUGCUGAAGAGGCUUAACCUUACUCAGUCCCUUCGUGAGGGGAUCUGCUGGGUUAUCAUUCGAUGAUACCCUCUUUGCCAUGAGGAGUCCUUCUUCUAUUCGAUGUCUUAUGAAAUCGUAUUUUCUAUCGAUGUGUCUGGAUCACCUGUAAUCCCUUGGUUCCUUGGCUAAGGCAACUGCACUUUCACUAUCAUAGAAAAUCUCCAUAGGCUCCUUUAUAGCUAGUACUACUCCAAGGUCUCCAAUCAAGUUCUUCAGCCAUAUAGCGUCCUUUGAUGCUUCGCUUGCCGCUAUAUACUCUGAUUCGCAAGUUGAAUCAGCCACUGUCUCCUGCUUGGAGCUUUUCCAAGUAAUUGCCCCUUCGUUUAAGGUAAAGACCCAGUCUGACUGAGAAAGGAAAUUAUCUCUAUCAGUCUGGAAGCUAGCAUCACUAUACCCUACUACUCUCAAGUCAUCACUCCCACCGAGGGUAAGGACCCAAUCCUUAGUCCUCUGCAGGUAGUUGAGAAUAUUCUUUAUCGCAGUCCAGUGAGCCUUGCCAUGGUUCCCCUGAUAUCUGCUAAACAUUCUCAACACAAAAGCUGCAUCAGGACGAGUACAAGUCAUAGCAUACAUGAUCGAGCCUACAACGGAAGUAUACGAUACUAGACUUAUCUCAACUAUCUCAGCUUCUAUACUCGGACUCUAAGUCUUACUCAAUCUGGCGUUACUCUGGAUCGGUAACUGUCCUUUCUCUGAAUCCUGCAUGCUGAACCUAUUCAACACUUCAUCAAAGUAGGUACUCUGACUAAGUCUAACUAGUCUUUUACUCCUGUCUCUCAAAAUCCUUAUCCCUAGGAUAUAGGCAGCUUCUCUAAGGUCCUUUAUAUCGAAACACUUCCCAAGACAGGAUUUCACUUCCUGUAGAGUUGGGAUGUCAUUUCCUAUUAGUAGUAUGUCAUCCACAUACAAUACCAAAAAGCUAACUAUACUCCCACUAGCCUUGACAUAUACACAAGAUUCAUAUUCGGUCCCUGAAAAGCCAAACUCUUUGACUUUCUCAUCGAAACAAAGAUUCCAUCUGCGAGGUGCUUGUUUCAAUCCAUAGAUGGAUAUCUCAACCUUCCAGUAAGGAAGGCGGUUUUGACAUCCAUUUGCCAUAUUUCAUAGUCAUGAAAUGCAGCAACGGCUAACAUAACCCUAAUAGACUUAAUCUUUGCUAUUGGUGAAAAGGUCUUGUCAUAGUCAACUCUCGAAGUUUGAGAAAAUCCCUUUGCAACCAGUCGUGCCUUAUACAUGUGUACAUUACCAUCCAUGUCGGUCUUCUUCUUGAAGAUCCAUUUGUACCCGACUGUCUUACGACCUGGUACAUUGUCAACCAUGUUCCAAACAUGAUUGUCAUAGAUGGCUUCCGUGUAGUUGUUAGGUUCAUCCAGACUUACCAGUGCAUUAUCAUUGAUAAGUGUAUCACCUUCCGCAGUAAUAUGGAAACCAUAGUAAUGCUCGGGUGCAUUCCUAACUCUGGUGGAACGCCUUAGAGGUACGGACUCGUCAGUCGGAUCAACAUUUGUUUCCUCCUCAGGUUUAUUGCUAGCGUGUGAGGUUCUUUCGCCACUUGACUCUUCAAUUUCUUCAAGGUCAAUUUACCUCCCACUGUUUCCUUGACUUAUGAACUCUCUCUCGCGAAAGACCCCUCACCUUGCUACAAAUACCACAUUAUCAUUGGGUCUGUAGUAGAGAUAACCAAAGGAUUUAUGUGGGUAGUCGAUGAAAAUACACCUCUCACUUCGAGGUUCGAGCUUAUCGUGAGUCUCACGCCUCACGAAAGCCUCGCACCCCAAAUAUUGAUGGGGUCAAGAUUGGGAACUUUUCCAGUCCACAUCUCGUGAGGUGUUUUGGCAACCUUUUUGGUAGGGACUAGAUUAAUAAUAUGGGCGGCAGUUUCUAAGGCAUACCCCCAAAAUCAGAUUGGUAGCGAAGGUCGACUCAUCAUGGAACAAACCAUAUCCAUCAAGGUUCGAUUACGCCUCUCAGCCUCACCAUUAAGCUGUGGUGUUCAGGGAGGUGUUAAUUGUGAGAAAAUCCUACAUUCCAUAAGAUAGUCAUGGAAGCCUGUACUAAGAUACUCACCACAUCGAUCGGAUCGAAGCAUCUUAAUGUUCCUGCCCCACUGAUUCUCCACUUCCUGUUUAAACUCCUUGAACUUUUCAAAGGUUUCUGACUUAUGCUUGAAUAAGUAGACAUAUCCAUAUCUACUAUUAUCAUCAGUAAAAGUCACAUAGAAGCGGUUAGCAUCCCUUAUGGCAGUUCAGAAGGGUCCACACACAUCAGUGUGUAUGAGAUCUAACAAAUCCUCACCCCUAGCACAAGUACCAGUGAAGGGUAACUUUGUCAUUUUCCCAAGCAAACAAGAUUCACAACUAUCAUCCGACUUUAGGUGAAAUGACUAUAAGACUCCGUCCUUUUGGAGAUGUCUUAUGCAUUUCUUGCUUACAUGUCCAAGACGACAAUGCCAUAAUGAUGCUUUAUCUAAGUUAGUGGAAGAAAAAAAAUACACAACACUUAUUUCCUAGGUUAUCUACAACCGUCACAUUUUCAUAUACACCAUCACAAGCUAAUGCUUUAAAGUAAAGAACAAUAUUAAAGAAAGUGUUAAUAUCACCCCACUCAUUGUCAAAUGAAAAGGUAAACCCUUGUUUGUACAAACCAUGAAAGGAAAUAAUAUUUCUUUCCAUUUCAGACGAGUAACAACAUUUAUUCAAAUCUAAUGUUAACCCACUACUUAGCAACAAAGAAUAAACUCCAAUCUUGGUGAUAGGUGAAGCUUUCGUAUUCCCCAUGGUUAAGUUUAUCUUCCCAUGCUCCACAUUCUCACUUUUUCUUAGUCCCUGCAAGUCAGAACAUACGUGAAUACCACAACCUGUAUCAAGGACCCCGAGAAUUAGAAUGAGGUGAGUUAUUAGACAAUAUAGUGUAAAUACCUGCAUGGUUGGGUUUUACUUUCCCAUCCUUAACAUCUUGCAGGUACUUUGGGAACUUUCGCCUCUAGUGCGCCUUUUUAUGGCAAUAGAAGCUUUUAGCCUCUUUAGGGUUGGCAGAAGGAGUGACAGAACCACUUUUGGUUCUACUUGAAGAGGAGCCAUCAAGGGAAUUUUCCUUGGUACCCUUCGAGGGGCUCUUCCUCUUCUUCCCUUUACCUUCCCUGAUAGCCAGAAUAGGGGCGGCGGUAGGAGUAGGAGUAGUAACAGUCGAUUUACCUUUGAGACCACUUUCAGCGGUCUUUAAAAGUCCUUGAAGUUUGAUAAGUGCAACUUCCUCCUUGUUCAUGUGGUAUGUAAUUCAGAAUUGAUCAUAACAAGAAGGUAAGGAGUGCAAUAUGAUGUCAAUUGCUAAUACCUCGGGGAAGUUCACAUUUAAUUUCAGCAAACGGUCCACGAAUCUUUUCAUUUUCUACAUGUGGCCCAUGAUGGGUUCACCAUCCUUCAUUCGGGUUGUUAUCAUGGAGGAGAUUAUUUCAUAUCGCUCUUGACGAGCACUCCAAUUGUAUCUGUCCAUCAAAUCCUAGUGCAUCUCAAAAGGAUAAUAGUCCUCAUAGGACUUUUGGAGCUCGGCUGUCAUAGUGGCCAACAUGAUACACGCCACCUUAGUGGCAUCUCGCCCAUGUGCCCGGAAUUCAGCGAUCUCCUCUGGAAUAGCAGACGACUCAUCAAUGUCCUUAAGCUCCUUGUUGAGGAAAUAUUCCUUGUCUUCAUAGCUCGUGACCAUCCUGAUGUUCCUGAUCCAAUCAUUGAAGUUGGAUCCAUCAGAUAUGACUCUCCCACAAAGGUUCAUGAGAGAGAAGGAGCCGGUAGGGUUUGAUCUAGAAGCAACGUUGUUGGAAGACAUCUGAAAAGAAAGAAGGACAAAUUUAGAUUAGAUAUAAAGAUAUUUAAAAGUAGGUGAAUGACGAUUCACCAAUUUCCACCUUGAAAAACAAAAUGUAUUAUUAGGCUUUAAUUGGUUUUGAAACUCCUAGAUUCUUUUGAGAUUCAUUAAACUUUCC
This 13019-nucleotide long non-coding RNA is filed under the name Lactuca sativa (garden lettuce). RNAcentral describes it as "long non-coding RNA (LSAT_LNC007705)". Lineage: Eukaryota; Viridiplantae; Streptophyta; Magnoliopsida; Asterales; Asteraceae. The record is from RNAcentral.